ACUACAUAAUAGGAGUCAGGUAAAGCUGCGUCAAGCUUUUAAAAGGGCAAGCUGGUGAAAAGUCCAGCGCGGUCCCGCCACUGUAAGUGAAACCUCUUGUGUUUCAUAAGCCAGAAAACCUGCCUGAUUCGUAUCACCGGU
Molecule: non-coding RNA, 141 nt
Filed under: Bacillus thermotolerans
Lineage: Bacteria; Bacillati; Bacillota; Bacilli; Caryophanales; Bacillaceae
Also listed under: 1 other name
Source: RNAcentral